This 387-nucleotide ribosomal RNA is filed under the name uncultured bacterium. Its description in RNAcentral is "bacterial SSU rRNA". It matches the Rfam family "Archaeal small subunit ribosomal RNA", at positions 339 to 726 of the family's 1478-position model. The record is from RNAcentral.
GCGCGAAAACUUUACAAUGCUGGCAACAGCGAUAAGGGAACCUCGAGUGCCAGGUUACAAAUCUGGCUGUCGAGAUGCCUAAAAAGCAUUUCAUAGCAAGGGCCGGGCAUGACCGGUGCCAGCCGCCACGGUAACACCGGCGGCUCGAGUGGUAACCGUUAUUAUUGGGUCUAAAGGGUCUGUAGCCGGCCGGAUAAGUCUCUUGAGAAAUCUGGCAGCUUAACUGUCAGGCUUUCAGGAGAUACUGUCUGGCUCGAGGCCGGGAGAGGUGAGAGGUACUUCAGGGGUAGGGGUGAAAUCUUGUAAUCCUUGAAGGACCACCAGUGGCGAAGGCGUCUCACCAGAACGGACCUGACGGCGAGGGACGAAAGCUAGGGGCACGAACCG